Cannabis sativa is the source of this 92-nucleotide small nucleolar RNA. The record is from RefSeq and is a predicted model, not a curated record. Lineage: Eukaryota; Viridiplantae; Streptophyta; Magnoliopsida; Rosales; Cannabaceae.
GUCGAGGCAAUGAUGAUCAAAAUCUAUCUAUUUCAAGAGGAGAUUUCUCUCCCUGAUUACAAAAUCACCAAUGGAUCCUUCAGAGCAUUCAA